RNAcentral lists this ribosomal RNA (253 nucleotides) under uncultured bacterium. Its description in RNAcentral is "partial 16S ribosomal RNA". It matches the Rfam family "Bacterial small subunit ribosomal RNA", at positions 524 to 776 of the family's 1533-position model. The record is from RNAcentral.
UACGGAGGGGGCGGGCGUUAUUCGGAAUUAUUGGGCGUAAAGGGCGCGUAGGCGGCCCGGUAAGUCAAAGGUGAAAUCCCUCGGCUCAACUGAGGAACUGCCUUUGAAACUGUCGGGCUUGAGGCCGGGAGGGGGUAGCGGAAUUCCCAGUGUAGCGGUGAAAUGCGUAGAUACUGGGAGGAACACCAGUGGCGAAGGCGGCUACCUGGACCGGUUCUGACGCUGAUGCGCGAAAGCGUGGGGAGCGAACAGG